CCAGUUUCAGAUGGAGUUAGAUCCAGGUGCUGGAACAAUGUUGUCAGAAAUCUCUCUCUCCCAUUCUCUCUGCUCUGCUGUCUCCUUCAUUGGCAUCAAUUUUAGGGAUGUUCUUCCCACAAGAAAAUGAGAUGGCCACUAACAACACUGAGCUUGUAACCUACUAGAUUAGCGGCUCCAGCAGAAGGAGGUCAUCCAGGAAAAUGUUCUGUUGGCUUAGCUUGGGGGAUGUUUGCAUCACUGUGACUAGAGAAAGGGGCUGAGGUCAGCACCACCUACACCACAUAAACAGAGAGUGUGGGCAGAGAUAGUCCCCAAAACUAAAUUCAGAGUGCUCUAAGCAGAAGAGGGAAUGAAUGUUAUCAGACAACAAUGAGAAAUAUCCACUAUACCGCUUCAUAGGAAGAAACAUUGAAUACAUUGGAGAAGACUUGGCAGGGACAUGAUUGGCAGAUCUAAAAUGUGGGUGUGCAAUUGGAUGAUCUGGGAAGAGCACAGCAGAACUGGGAUCAGUGGGUGGGCCAGGUCUGCCCACUCCAAAGACCAUGUUGGUUCCUCUACACCUUGCCAAGCUACACAACUAGACAGCAAAAACAAUAACCAGACAGACCUCAGGUUGAAGCCCAACCCUGCCUCUCAGUCACUCAGCCCACUUAUUUAACUUUCUUGGAUGUCAGCUUCUCCAUAAGUCAAAGGAUCAUUGGAAGGAAAAAGAUAAGCCCGAGCUGAGGUUACAGCCAGCUCAGUGCAAAGCACUGGGAUUCAUUGCUCAGUAAGUGUUGGUCCCCCUACCUGUUUUCUUCACUUCUAGCAUGUUUUACAAUUUUGUUUUGGGAUCGUCUUCUAGGAUGGAAGAGUCUAAUUUCAUAAAACAUGCAAUAAAUAAUUCCUAACACUUUCUAAAGCUUUUGAAUCACAUGCAUUAAUGAGGAUAGGGUAUUGCCAAUUCAGAACACCUGGAAGCUGCUCAGGGCACACUCAAGCUCCUGACAGCUGUGUGGGUUCUCUCUGAAUCUGUUAGAGUAGCACUUCUGCAGUAUGGAAGCAAAGGAAACUCCACAGUAAGUGGAAAGAUGGGCACUGGGAGGCAAAGGGAACCCAACUGCAGAACUGGACAUUUUGUUGGGGUUUUUUUGCCUGUUCUUAUUAAACACAUACAAAAUUAAUCCAUCUUACUGUGGAAGAGGAGUAUCUGCAGUCAAAUAUAACCACCAAAUAAGCUACUGCCCAUUUCUCCCAAUGCUCUUAUCUCUUUCCUUUCUUCACAUUAGGAUUCCCCAACCUACUAUUGGCUGAUCAGAAAAGUGAGGCUCCCACAAUUCCAUCUGUGCCAGUGGGGAGAAUCCUAGCUGUGCCAGUGAGGAGAAGAAGCAUUUUACUGAAAUUGCUCCUUCCAGCCAGACCACACUCUCUCCCAUUAAUCCCUUGGAAAUUUCACUGCAGGUCUCAGAAGAAAAAUGAAGACCACUUAUUUGACCUGUACUGAUGUGCAAUAACACCAAUUCACUUGAAAAGCCAGAUUUGCCAUCAGGGACUGUGUCUCUCUGCUUUGCACUUUUCAACUUGAAAAGUUGCCAUCAGGGACUGUGUCUCUCUGCUUUGCAACAACAUAAAUACAUGUAUGUGGUCAUCACGGACUUUCAGAAGAUCCCAAGCAACUGGAAAAAAAAAAUUCUAAGCAUGAAUGCGUGGGGGGUUGGUUAUAUAGAUUAUGCUACACACAUACAUAGGAACACUAUGGAACCAUUGCAAAGAAUAAAACAAAACUAUAUGUGUAAAUCUGGAAAGACUCCCGGGAUAUAUCACUACCUGACAAGUUCAACCUAUGGAAGAGUAAUACUUUAUUUAGGGUAUAUAUAGUUUCAUAAAGAAAAGUGCAUGGACAUAUAUUGAUACAUUGGUGUGUGUACACAAAGGAAUAGUACAAUCCCCUGUUAGCUGGGUCUGUGGCUUCCUUGAAUAAAGACUACAAUUCCCAGACUCCCUUGCAGCUAAGAUUUGCCCAAUGGUGUGAGCAUAAGAGAUAGGUACAACUUCUCAGCCUUGUUUUUAAAUGGAAUAGGAAAGUCCUGGUGGCCCCUUUUACCUCUGCUGUGGAAGUGGUGGUUUUGGGCUCUGGCCUAGCAUGCAAAGAAAAGAGACUGUACUCGGAAACAGUGAGAUAGAAGGGGCUUGAAUCUCCAAGUGAGAGGCAUCCAUGACUGCAUGGAUAGCCCACCCCUAGGCUGUGAUAUGGGACGGAAAUCAGCUCCCGUCUUAUAUAUGCACCCGCAUUGUGGAAAUCUCUUUGUUAGAGCAGUGGGCUCUAUCCUCAUAUGAGCAGGAUAGUCUCCAAACAAUUGACAGUAGUUUCUGAGAUAUUGACAGUGGUUUCCAAGGUAUGGCAUUGGAAGUGAGAAGAGAGGGAUUCUUACUAAUUUUACUUUUAUACCUUACUGCUGCUAUUUGUAAAUGUUGCAAUAAUGUUUUACUUGUUAAUUUUCUUGGACCUCAGGUGUCAAAAUUGGGUUAAUUAUAAGCUGUGGUUUGUAAUACACAUUUAUCAUUGGUCUAUAAAGGGGCCUCUUUUAUUUAGUUAAUUCAUUUUUGUUCUCUUCUUAAAAAGAUACUAAGCACCGUCUAUCACCCGAACAACAAAAACUAGAACCUUCAUCUAACCAUAUGCUGCUAUCCACCCCAUCCCAUCCCCUGCUUCCCCCUACCAGGAAUAAAUAACCAUUUUCCCAAUUUCCAUCAUUUCCUUGCUUUUCUUCUUCUAUAUAUUUUAUUGCAUUUGUAUGCACGCUUUAAAUGCCUAUUUUUAAAUGUUAGCUGGCUUUAUACUUAUAAAAAGAAUAUCAUGCUAUAUAUAAAAUUUUGACAAUUUUUAUACUUAAUAUUAUAUUUCUAAGAUACAUCUGCAUGAUUUGCAAGUUGCUAUAGUUCUGGAGUUGACAGAGUUUCUGUAAAGGGCCAGAAAGGAAAAAUUUUAGGCUCUGCAGGCCACAUAUAGUCUCCAUCACAUUCUUCUUUUUUUAUUUUAUAACCUUUAAAGAAAUGUAAAAGCCAUUGUUAGCCUGCAGACCCCACAGAAAUAGGGCCAGGCAGUUUCCCGACCCUGGCUCUGGUUCAUCAGUUUUGAUUGCUGUAUAAUGUUAGCUAGACCAUGCUUUAUUAAUCCAUUCUUCCAUCAGUGAUGCUUGGUCCAUUUUUAAGCUUUUGCUGUUGGGCAGAGUGUAUUCUCAGUAUCUUCUGGUAUACAUGAGCCAAAGUAUCUUUGGGAAGUUCUCCAGGAGGUGUGGAAUUGCUGAGUCACGGGAGAUGGAAUGUCCACCUUUGGGGAUAAUGCUGAAGACUGAAGGCAGCAUUUCAGAGACAGGAAUGCCAAGCGCACGAUGGCCUCAGAGGCUCUGAUGUUUGACAUUUGCUGCCUCUGAAGACUUCCCUGACUGUGCUCCACAUGGUUCUUUUGCUACUCACCAUUCUCAUCUAGCUCUUUUAUGGAGUUGUUUUAUUUUUUUGUGCUCUCAUGCCCCAGCCUGGACAUAAUUCCUUCCCAGUUAUGUUCAGUAGUAGCACCUUAAUUGCACCUCCUAUGGAACAAUCAGCAUGAAUAUGAGCUCCUGCACUAGACUUGGACUCCAACAUCUGGGAUCUGCCAGUUUCUAUCUGUUUGGCCUUGGGCAAGUCACUUAACAGCUUUGAAUUUGAGUUUUUACACCUGAAGGAGCUGUGAGAAUUCCUGUGCCUUUGUUCAUCACGUGGCUGCAAAGAACAGGAAGUCACUCUUAGGUGCUCAGCAAAACUGAAAUUAAAAGGGUUUCUUUUUUUGUUGUUUUUUCUUUUUAAGUUCUGGGGUACAUGUGCAGGAUGUGCAGGUUUGUUACAUAGGUAAACGUGUGCCAUGGCGGUUUGCUGCAGCUAUCAACCCAUCACCUAAGUAUUAAGCCCAGCAUGCAUUAGCUAUUUUUCCUUAUGCUCUCCCUACCCCCAUCCCACUCCCUGACAGGCCCUGGUGUGUGAUGUUCCCCUCCCUGUGUCCAUGUGUUCUCAUUGUUCAGCUCCCACUUAUAAGUGAGAACAUACAGUGUUUGGUUUUCUGUUCCUGCAUUAGUUUGCUGAGGAAAAUGGCUUCCAGCUUCAUCCAUGUCCCUGCAAGGGACAUGAUCUCAUUCCUUUUUAUAGCUGCACAGUAUUCCAUGGUGUAUAUGUACCACAUUUUCUCCAUCCAGACUAUCAUUGAUGGGCAUUCGGGUUGAUUCCAUGUCUUUGCUAUUGUGAAUAGUGCUGCAGUGAACAUGCAUAUACAUGUAUCUUUGUAACAGAAUGAUUUAUAUUCAAAAGGAAGUUUAAAUAAGAACUGGAAAAAUGACAGCUGCUCCAGCAUGAUGGACAAGGUCCUUCAGGGCCCUGGUGCAAGACUCUGUGCCACUCUACUUCUCAUUCAUCAUCAAGCAACUAUUGAGCACCUACUAUUUGCCACACUAUUCUAGGUGCUUGGAAUGUGGCAGGGAAUUAAACAGAGAUCCCUGCCCUGAAGGGGCUGAUAUUCUAGUGUGGAGAGAGAAACCAAAAUCAAUGAACAUAAUAAAUGGGGAAAAUAAAAGAUUCGUGGUAAUGAGUGCUUGGACAAGAGAAACAGCAUGGACAUGGAUUAGGGAUGCUGACAGGGGCUGGUGGGGGGUGUCGCUUGUUAAAUAAGGUGGGUGGAGAGGGCUUCAGUGAGGUGGUGGGAUUUGAACAGAGAUUUGAAGAGGUGAGAGAAUGAGGUGUGGGUGUCUGGGGGAAGUUUUCCAGCAAUGAGCAAAGUGGUCAAAGGCCACAGAAAUGUGGCUGCCCCUGGACACCUCCUGGAGCCCCGUGAGUAUGGGAGAGGGAAGGACUGAGGCCAUCACCCAGGUCACAUAGGAGGCGUGGUCAUCAUAAGGACUUUGGCUUUCACCCUGCAGGAAAUGGGAAAUCAGCCAGGUCAUAAAGGAGGCAUGGCCAUCACAAGGACUUUCACUUUCCCCCUACAGGAAAUGGGAAGUCGGCCAGCCCAGGCAAGGUUGGCUCAUGCCUGUAAUCCUAGCACUUCGGGAGGCCAAGGUGGGCAAAUCACCUGAGGUCAGGAGUUCUAGACCAGCCUGACCAACAUGGUGAAACCCCGUCUCUACUAAAAAUACAAAAUUAGCCAGGUGUGGUGGUGUAUGCCUGUAAUCCCAGCUACUUGGGAGGCUGAGGCAGGAGAAUCGCUCAAACCCAAGAAGCAGAGGUUGCAGUGAGCCGAGAUUGCACCACUGCACUCCAGCUUGGGCAACAGAGCAAGAUUCCAUCUCAAAAAAAAAAAAAAAAAAAAAAAAAAGGAAAUGGGAAGGCAGUGGUGGUCAGGCCAUAAAGGAGGCGUGGCCAUCACAAGGACUUUGGCUUUCACCCUGCAGAAAUGGAAAGUCAGUAGCCAGUUCAUAAAGGAGGCAUGGUCAUCAUAAGGACUUUCACUUUCACGCUGCAGGAAGUGGGAAAUCAGUGGCCAGUUCAUGGAAGAGGUGUGGCCAUCGUAAGGACUUUGGCUUUCACCCUGCAGGAAAAGGGAAGUCAGGCAGGAUUAGGAGCAGAAGAGCCAUGUGAUGAGGUUGCAACCAGCUGAAGGCUGGGCUGGGGCUGGGGCUGGGGAAUCUGCUUUUGAGUUCACUCAGGUGACUGUUGGCAGAAGGUAGAGUUCCCUGUCACAUGGACCCUUUUGUGGGUUUACACAUGACAUGGCAGCUGACUUCCCCCAGAGAGAGACAGAAGCAGAGAGACAGACAGACACAGGACAAACGCAGAGGCAGACAGAGACACAGACAGAUGCAGAGAGAGAGACAAAAAUCCACAAACUCAGAGAGAAAUAGAGAGGAAGACACAGAAAUAGACACAGAGACAGAGAGUGAGAGAGUGACACAGAUAGAUAUAGGCAGACACUGAUAUGGUUUAGGUGUUUGUCCCUCUGAGUCUCAUGUUGAAACGUGAUCCCCAGUGUUGGAGGUGGGGCCUAAGAAGUGUUUGGGCCAUGGGGGCGGAUCCCUCAUGAAUGACUCGGUGCCCCCCCCCCACCACCCCAGUGGUGAUGAAUGAGUUCUUGCUCUGUGAGUUCACAAAAUAACUGGUUGCUUAAAGGAGGCCGGCAUGUCCUCCUUUCUUUUUUUUUUUUUUUUGGAGAUGGAGUCUCGCUCUGUCACCCAGGCUAGAAUGUAGUGGUGCGAUCUCG
This 6205-nucleotide long non-coding RNA is filed under the name Homo sapiens (human). RNAcentral's name for it is "long non-coding RNA NONHSAT148416.1". The record is from RNAcentral. Lineage: Eukaryota; Metazoa; Chordata; Mammalia; Primates; Hominidae.